This is a non-coding RNA of Gossypium arboreum, 107 nucleotides long. The record is from Rfam. Lineage: Eukaryota; Viridiplantae; Streptophyta; Magnoliopsida; Malvales; Malvaceae.
AGACCAUGGUGGGGGCAUCUUUCUACCAGCAAUUUAAAUCGCUCCCAAGCUUUAUGAAAACUUUCUCCUUCCAUCUGUUUAAAAUUCGCGAUCUCUCAUCUUAGUUG